This 1990-nucleotide ribosomal RNA is filed under the name human gut metagenome. RNAcentral describes it as "bacterial LSU rRNA". It matches the Rfam family "Bacterial large subunit ribosomal RNA", at positions 51 to 2006 of the family's 2925-position model. The record is from RNAcentral.
GAAGGACGCGACAAGCUGCGAAAAGCUGCGGCGAGGGGCAAAUGCCCUGUGACCCGCAGAUGUCCGAAUGGGGAAACCCGGCGGGAGCGAUCCCGUCACCACACUCAUUAAAGAGGUGGGGCGAACGCGGGGAACUGAAACAUCUCAGUACCCGCAGGAAGAGAAAAUAAUAAUGAUUGCGCAAGUAGUGGCGAGCGAACGCGCAAGAGCCCAAACCGUGGAGGUCGCAAGGCUUCACACGGGGUUGUAGGACCGGCGACGGUGUUGAAUGACACUUGUAGCAGAACAUGUUGGAAAGCAUGACCAUAGCGGGUGAUAGUCCCGUACGCGAAACAGGGGUUAUUCGAUCAGCCGGCACCUGAGUACCGCGGAACACGUGAAAUUCUGUGGGAAUCAGCGGGGCCCAUCCCGCAAGGCUAAAUACUACCGAGAGACCGAUAGCGCACAAGUACCGUGAGGGAAAGGUGAAAAGAACCUCGAGCAGAGGAGUGAAACAGACCCUGAAACCGUGCGCCUACAAGGCCUACAAGCGGUCGGAGCCACCUUGAGUGGUGACGGCGUGCCUUUUGCAUAAUGAACCUACGAGUUGCCGUCGCCGGCGAGGUUAAGUGGUAGCAGCCACGGAGCCGCAGCGAAAGCGAGUCCGAACAGGGCGUAUAGAUAGUCGGCGGAGGCAGACGCGAAACCAAGUGAUCUACCCUUGGCCAGGAUGAAGGACGGGUGACUCCGUCUGGAGGUCCGCACCGGCAAGCGUUGAAAAGCUUUCGGAUGAGCUGAGGGUAGGAGUGAAAGGCCAAUCAAACUUGGAGAUAGCUCGUACUCCCCGAAAUGUAUUUAGGUGCAGCCUCGGGACAGGUUAGCGGAGGUAGAGCGACCGAUAGGAUGCGAGGGCUUCACCGCCUAUCAAGUCCUGCCGAACUCCGAAUGCCGCAGAACCGAUUCCCGGGAGUAAGGGCGUGGGUGCUAAGGUCCACGUCCGAGAGAGGAACAACUCAGACCACCGUCUAAGGCCCCGAAAUCCGGGCUAAGUUGAAGACAAUAACGAAGUGCGGCCGCAGAGACAGCCAGGAUGUUGGCUUGGAAGCAGCCAUUCAUUUAAAGAGUGCGUAACAGCUCACCGGUCGAGCGGCCGCGCAUGGAUAAUAAUCGGGCAUAAGUCCGGUGCCGAAGACGUGGAAUGACGCAUAAUAGCGUCAUUGGUAGGGGAGCAUUCCAGUAUAGCGUUGAAGGUGUGCCUUGAGGCAUGUUGGAGCCACUGGAAAAGCAAAUGUAGGUAUAAGUAACGAUAAAGGAGGUGCGAACCCUCCUCGCCGUAAGACCAAGGUUUCCUGAUCAACGCCAGUCGGAUCAGGGUCAGCCGGGACCUAAGCCGCAACCCGCGAGGGGAAGGCGAUGGAAGAGGCGGUUAAUAUUCCGCCGCUGCGUACAGCUGCGAUGGAGAGACGUGGAAGUGACACGCCCGCGGACAGACGGAAUUGUCCGUUUAAGGGGAGUAGGUUAUGAGGGAGAUAGGCAAAUCCGUCUUCCGAGCCGAACCCUGAAAGUAUGGAGCGUCUUCGGACAAUCCAAUAGAGGCGGUAAGCCUGCCACCGAGAAAAUCUUCUAAGCAUCAGGCUGCAUGCACCCGUACCGUAAACCGACACAGGUGGUCGGGUAGAGUAUACCAAGGCGCUCGAGAGAUUCAUGGUUAAGGAACUAGGCAAAUUGACCCCGUAACUUCGGGAUAAGGGGUCCCCCUGAUUAGGUUCAGGGGGCGCAGAGAAUCGGUCCAGGCAACUGUUUAACAAAAACACAGGGCUGUGCUAAGCUGCAAGGCGAUGUAUACAGUCUGACACCUGCCCGGUGCCGGAAGGUUAAGAGGAGGCGUCAACCCUUUUUUGGGGUGCAGCGCUGAAUUGAAGCCCCGGUAAACGGCGGCCGUAACUAUAACGGUCCUAAGGUAGCGAAAUUCCUUGUCGGGUAAGUUCCGACCUGCACGAAUGGUGUAAUG